RNAcentral lists this ribosomal RNA (432 nucleotides) under uncultured bacterium. RNAcentral's name for it is "partial 16S ribosomal RNA". It matches the Rfam family "Bacterial small subunit ribosomal RNA", at positions 29 to 507 of the family's 1533-position model. The record is from RNAcentral.
AACGAACGCUGGCGGCAUGCCUAACACAUGCAAGUCGAACGAUACCUUCCGGUCUAGUGGCGCACGGCUGCGUAACGCGUGGGAACCUGCCCUUAGGUUCGGAAUAACUUCCCGUAAGGGGUGCUAAUACCGGAUAAUGUCUUCCGACCAAGAAUUAUCGCCUUCGGAUGGUCCCGCGUUGGAUUAGCUAGUUGGUAGGUUAAAAGCCUACCAAGGCGACGGUCCAUAGCUGGUUUGAGAGGCUGAUCAGCGACACUGGGACUGAGACACAGCCCAGACUCCUACGGAAUGCAGGAGUGGGUGAUAUAGGAAAAUGGGCGAAGUCCUGAUCCAGCAAUGCCGCGUGAGUGAUGAAGGCCGUGGGGUUGUAAAGCUCUUUUACCCGAGAUGAUAAUGACGGUACCGGGAGAAUAAGCUCCGGCUAACUCCGUG